This 207-nucleotide ribosomal RNA is filed under the name uncultured bacterium. Its description in RNAcentral is "partial 16S ribosomal RNA". It matches the Rfam family "Bacterial small subunit ribosomal RNA", at positions 568 to 774 of the family's 1533-position model. The record is from RNAcentral.
AGCGUAGACGGAGUGGCGAGUCUGAUGUGAAAACCCGGGGCUCGACCCCGGGACUGCAUUGGAAACUGUCAAUCUGGAGUACCGGAGAGGUAAGCGGAAUUCCUAGUGUAGCGGUGAAAUGCGUAGAUAUUAGGAGGAACACCAGUGGCGAAGGCGGCUUACUGGACGGUAACUGACGUUGAGGCUCGAAAGCGUGGGGAGCAAACA